This is a long non-coding RNA of Cydia pomonella (codling moth), 3324 nucleotides long. RefSeq lists it as uncharacterized. The transcript has 2 exons. The record is from RefSeq and is a predicted model, not a curated record. Lineage: Eukaryota; Metazoa; Arthropoda; Insecta; Lepidoptera; Tortricidae.
GCCGGAUUUAGGGGAGGGCAACCGGGGCUUCUGCCCCGGGCCUCUACAAAAGAGGGGCCCCCCACAAUAGAGAAUUCGGUAAAUUUACCAUUUUAUUUGGAAAAAAUUUGGGGCCAGGGGGCCUCCACUCCUUUAUUGCCCGAGGCCUCCAGACCUCUAAAUCCGGCAUUGGUGCCGCUUGUGUUUAAAAUCAAUCACCUCGACGAGCUUAGGGGCUGUGGCGGAGACACGAGACGAGCCGCAAGCUGAACCAUGAGGCGCGUGUGGAGCUCACGAGCUGUGGCCGAGCGAGACACGAGACGAGCCGCGAGCCGAGCCACGAAUGUAAACGUGGUGAAAAAUAUCUGAGUGAAACAAAAGACUACCAACGUCCGUCACGUCCGUCAACGUCAUUUUGACAUCCAGGCAAUACCGCAAAACACCAAGAAAAACCACUGAAACGAAGCCAACACGAAUUCUACUUAAAUACAUUGUAAUCGGGAUCGGGUAAUCGCUGCCUGCGAUCAGCUGUACAAAUUGGUUAACCGUUGGAACUACAUUGGAAAAUAUAUCUGGAAACUCAUUUAAUAUUAAUAAAAUUUAUAAGACUUCAGUUAAUAAGUGACAACAAACUGCUAACAAUAUCAAUGGAGCAUUCUGAUUGUGAAUUGGAAGCUACGGAGGAUCCCGACCUAGAAGGCACUACCACAAUCUUUGAUGUGCUCAGAAUCGACAUUUGCUGCCGAGCAAUCCUAGAGAAAAUACCGUUUCCAGACCUGGUACGCUCUGAAAGAGUAAGCAGAGAAUGGCAGGCCAUUGUGCAUGACUAUCUACGUAACAACAAGCGCAAUAUGAGAUUCUUUGAUCUUUACAGAGAUAUCCAUCGUUAUAACCAAAGAGACAAAAUCUGCAAGAAUAAUCCGUUGAUCAUGGAUCAUACGGUUGUUAUCCGUAGACACAAUUCUUCAGAAAUAAUCAAGAAACCGAUACAUUUAAUUAUUAAAGAGGUUACGGAUCGCUGGUUGACAUAAACAACCUGAGCUUACAUAUGACCAUUUAUGCCAGUAGUAGCAUAACUUAAUAUACAGCGUAAACUACAUAUGUCACUCGACAUAACAAUUCACUCUAUAUCAUCGACAUUUGUUGCCUAUAGUUGGUUUACUUUAGUAUUAAUUUUUCUCUAUAUGACAAAAACUCAAUGGUGUUAUAAAAUGUCCGGUCCCUUGAGUGUGGCUAUAUUAUAGUUUACAACUUUACACUAUGGAAUAUUUAAAUUUUAGGCCUGAUAAAAUAGACUUUUUGUGCUUGCCAUUACUAACAAAUGCACUUUGUUUAAGAGCAUUUAAUUGACACAUACAAAAGAAACGAUUAUUGUUGAUCUAUUCACAUUAGGAUCCAAAUACACGUAUUCUUAUACAGGUGUUUAUUUAGUCACCUGCAAUAAUUUACGGGGUGAAUAUAUAGGUCAUACUGAGCAACUUUUACGAUGGGACCCGAAGUCGCGAAAAAAAAAAUUAGCUGUUUCAAAUUUUCUAAGGGAGAGUAAAUUUUUUAUACGAUUUCGGGGUUGGUCCCAUAGUAAAAGUUGCUCAGUAUGACCUACAUAUUCAGCCCGUAAAUUAUUGCAGGUAAAUAAAUAAACAACGUGUAUGUAGCAUAAAAAAAAAAAGAUAAUUUAUAUUCAUUCUCAUUAUUAGCAAUACAAAGUGUGUAGCCUGAUUUACAUGCGUGCCGACACUUCGCAUGCGUCAGGGACGCAGCUAUGCGGUGGAAUGAGAUAGCAAUAUCGCUUGCUCUCUCUAACGCAUAACUGCGUUCCUGACGCUUGGCAAUUCUCGGCACGCAUGUAAAUCAGGCUUAUCAGUAGACCAUCUGUUAUUUAACCACUGUUUAUUAAAAAACUCACAUAAAACUAAAUUAUUCUAGGCAUCGUAAUUUAUUUAUCCUUUCAGGUAUAGCCUGAAAAAUCUUCUCGGGACUGAAUUUUAAUUGAAAAAAGCUUUUUAUCUUUACAUUAGAUCUCUUCGGUUAUUUUUAGUCAAUUAGAACAUUAUUUUAAAAUUAGGUAUUUGGUUGUUUUUUCUUAAUGGAAUGGAUUUGUAUAUGAUGAAAUAUAAACUUGGUAAUAUAAUGAAAAGCAUAAUCCUUGUACCUGGUAGGUAUUUGUUUAUUUAUAUUUGUUCCUUUACAUACCUACUUAAAUUAUACACAUUUUAGUAAUAGUUUGCUAUCUCUUUUAUUCAUAAGUUUUUGUUGACGGUAUUUUAUUUAAAGCAACACAAUUUAAUCAUUGGUAAAGUAAGGACACUGCACGAAGAAUCUUGUACAUUGACCCUCCAUUAACUAUCUGUGUCACACGCGCAUUACGCGCAUACUGCUGUCUCGCUCGCACAGUGGCACGACCGCCGGCACUAUCGGCGUGAAUGUGGGCUUACCGCGAACCACGUUCGACGUGUUGCCUCCCUAUCACACUUACGUACGAAUUUACAAGUGCGACAGAGAGGCAACACGUCGAACUUGGUUCGCGGUAGGCCCUAAGCAAUAUAAUUAUGCGCGGGCACGCGCGGGCAAUAGACCUAUCUCUAUGCCAUUUUCUAAAAUAGCGGGUCAAUGUAAGAAAUUCUUCUAGCUUAGCGUUCUUACUUUAGACCGUAUUUCGUUGGUCCGUGUGAUGUGUCUGACACUGACAAUCAAUAUGUAUGUUGCUAGGGACUUCAUACUAUUGUAACUUUGACAAUACCUUGUACCGAGAUGGUACUGAAAUUGAAUUCCUUGACCUACCAGAGAACAUGAUAGGAAGGAAAAUUUGAAUUAGAGGUGAACUGUCAAAUAAAAUUUUGUAGCCAUAGUAAAUUGACUGCCAUCUAUCUCCACAUGAUUAAAACUUUUUAGGAAGACCAUUUGACUUUGAUCCUUAUUCUUUCUCCGAUAUGUGUUAAAUUUGUUGAAAUCAAAAAGUGGCGCCAUCUUACCCGGCAUCGGCUAAAGGUUGUGGCGCCAUCGCUCGAAACGAUACCGCCAUACCUUUGGCCUUUGUUCUAUUAGAUGGCGCCACUUUUUGAUAUUUAACAAAUUUAACACAUAUCAGCGAAAGAAUAAGGAUCAGAGUCAAAUGGCCUUCUAAAAGUUUUAAUCAUAUGUCGAAAGAUGACAAUACAUUUACUGUGGCUACAUAGUUUUCUUUGUCUAUCACCCUCUAUUUCAAAUUCUCUAUGAUGAUGGUUUAAAUUUUGUGCAAUAAAAGUACCGUCAGCAAAGAAGGUUGUGUUUUUUACAAUUACACUUAUUUUUAUUGUAACUCUACUGUGUGUAGUUCACCCAUAAUAAAAUUAAUGAAUUAAUAAA